AAUAGAUACCCGGGUAGUCCACGCCGUAAACGAUGAGUGCUAAGUGUUAGAGGGUUUCCGCCCUUUAGUGCUGAAGUUAACGCAUUAAGCACUCCGCCUGGGGAGUACGGCCGCAAGGCUGAAACUCAAAGGAAUUGACGGGGGCCCGCACAAGCGGUGGAGCAUGUGGUUUAAUUCGAAGCAACGCGAAGAACCUUACCAGGUCUUGACAUCCUCUGAUAACCCUAGAGAUAGGGCUUCUCCUUCGGGAGCAGAGUGACAGGUGGUGCAUGGUUGUCGUCAGCUCGUGUCGUGAGAUGUUGGGUUAAGUCCCGCAACGAGCGCAACCCUUGAUCUUAGUUGCCAUCAUUAAGUUGGGCACUCUAAGGUGACUGCCGGUGACAAACCGGAGGAAGGUGGGGAUGACGUCAAAUCAUCAUGCCCUUAUGACCUGGGCUACACACGUGCUACAAUGGACGGUACAAAGAGCUGCAAGACCGCGAGGUGGAGCUAAUCUCAUAAAAACCGUUCUCAGUUCGGAUUGUAGG
This 527-nucleotide ribosomal RNA is filed under the name uncultured bacterium. RNAcentral's name for it is "bacterial SSU rRNA". It matches the Rfam family "Bacterial small subunit ribosomal RNA", at positions 777 to 1304 of the family's 1533-position model. The record is from RNAcentral.